Molecule: ribosomal RNA, 656 nt
Filed under: uncultured crenarchaeote DN-5_1
Lineage: Archaea; Thermoproteati; Thermoproteota
Description: bacterial SSU rRNA
Rfam family: Archaeal small subunit ribosomal RNA
Source: RNAcentral
UGACUGCUAUCGGAUUGAUACUAAGCCAUGCGAGUCAUUGUAGCAAUACAAGGCAUACGGCUCAGUAACGCGUAGUCAACCUAACCUAUGGACGGGAAUAACCUCGGGAAACUGAGAAUAAUGCCCGAUAGAACAUUAUGCCUGGAAUGGUUUAUGUUCCAAAUGAUUUAUCGCCGUAGGAUGGGACUGCGGCCUAUCAGUUUGUUGGUGAGGUAAUGGCCCACCAAGACUAUUACAGGUACGGGCUCUGAGAGGAGUAGCCCGGAGAUGGGUACUGAGACACGGACCCAGGCCCUAUGGGGCGCAGCAGGCGAGAAAACUUUGCAAUGUGCGAAAGCACGACAAGGUUAAUCCGAGUGAUUUGUGCUAAACGAAUCUUUUGUUAGUCCUAGAAACACUAACGAAUAAGGGGUGGGCAAGUUCUGGUGUCAGCCGCCGCGGUAAAACCAGCACCUCAAGUGGUCAGGAUGAUUAUUGGGCCUAAAGCAUCCGUAGCCGGCUCUGUAAGUUUUCGGUUAAAUCUGUACGCUUAACGUACAGGCUGCCGGGAAUACUGCAAAGCUAGGGAGUGGGAGAAGUAGACGGUACUCGGUAGGAAGUGGUAAAAUGCUUUGAUCUAUCGAUGACCACCUGUGGCGAAGGCGGUCUACUAGAAC